AGCGGAUGACGGGAUUUGAACCCGCGACCCUCACCUUGGCAAGGUGAUGCUCUACCACUGAGCCACAUCCGC
This 72-nucleotide transfer RNA is filed under the name Candidatus Hakubella thermalkaliphila. RNAcentral describes it as "Candidatus Hakubanella thermoalkaliphilus tRNA-Gly". The record is from RNAcentral. Lineage: Bacteria; Bacillati; Actinomycetota; Candidatus Hakubellales; Candidatus Hakubellaceae.